Molecule: ribosomal RNA, 520 nt
Filed under: uncultured Glomus
Lineage: Eukaryota; Fungi; Glomeromycota; Glomeromycetes; Glomerales; Glomeraceae
Description: SSU rRNA
Rfam family: Eukaryotic small subunit ribosomal RNA
Source: RNAcentral
AGCAGCCGCGGUAAUUCCAGCUCCAAUAGCGUAUAUUAAAGUUGUUGCAGUUAAAAAGCUCGUAGUUGAAUUUCGGGAUCAAUAUGUUGGUCGUGCCUUGGUACGUACUAAUUUAUUGGUUUCUUCCUUCUGACGAACCAUGAUGUCAUUAAUUUGGUGUCUUGGGGAAUCAGGACUGUUACUUUGAAAAAAUUAGAGUGUUUAAAGCAGGCUCACGCUUGAAUACAUUAGCAUGGAAUAAUGAAAUAGGAUGUUUGAUUCUAUUUUGUUGGUUUCUAGGAUCGACGUAAUGAUUAAUAGGGAUAGUUGGGGGCAUUAGUAUUCAAUUGUCAGAGGUGAAAUUCUUGGAUUUAUUGAAGACUAACUACUGCGAAAGCAUUUGCCAAGGAUGUUUUCAUUAAUCAAGAACGAAAGUUAGGGGAUCGAAGACGAUCAGAUACCGUCGUAGUCUUAACCAUAAACUAUGCCGACUAGGGAUUGGACGAUGUUAAUUUUUAAUGACUCAUUCGGCGCCUUACGG